RNAcentral lists this ribosomal RNA (839 nucleotides) under uncultured Oceanospirillaceae bacterium. RNAcentral's name for it is "bacterial SSU rRNA". It matches the Rfam family "Bacterial small subunit ribosomal RNA", at positions 56 to 885 of the family's 1533-position model. Lineage: Bacteria; Pseudomonadati; Pseudomonadota; Gammaproteobacteria; Oceanospirillales; Oceanospirillaceae. The record is from RNAcentral.
UGCAAGUCGAGCGGUAACAGGAAUUAGCUUGCUAAUUUGCUGACGAGCGGCGGACGGGUGAGUAACGCGUAGGAAUCUGCCUGGUAGUGGGGGACAACAUGUGGAAACGCAUGCUAAUACCGCAUACGCCCUACGGGGGAAAGGAGGGGAUCUUCGGACCUUUCGCUAUCAGAUGAGCCUGCGUGAGAUUAGCUAGUUGGUGGGGUAAAGGCUCACCAAGGCGACGAUCUCUAGCUGGUCUGAGAGGAUGAUCAGCCACACUGGGACUGAGACACGGCCCAGACUCCUACGGGAGGCAGCAGUGGGGAAUAUUGGACAAUGGGCGCAAGCCUGAUCCAGCCAUGCCGCGUGUGUGAAGAAGGCCUUCGGGUUGUAAAGCACUUUCAGAGGUGAGGAAGGGUGUGCCGUUAAUACCGGUAUGCUUUGACGUUAGCCUCAGAAGAAGCACCGGCUAACUCUGUGCCAGCAGCCGCGGUAAUACAGAGGGUGCGAGCGUUAAUCGGAAUUACUGGGCGUAAAGCGCGCGUAGGUGGUUUGUUAAGUCGGAUGUGAAAGCCCAGGGCUCAACCUUGGAAUUGCACCCGAUACUGGCAAGCUAGAGUACGGUAGAGGGGUGUGGAAUUUCCUGUGUAGCGGUGAAAUGCGUAGAUAUAGGAAGGAACAUCAGUGGCGAAGGCGGCUCACUGGCUCGAUACUGACGCUGAGGUGCGAAAGUGUGGGGAGCAAACAGGAUUAGAUACCCUGGUAGUCCACACCGUAAACGAUGAAUGCCAGUCGUCGGGGCGCUUGCGCUUCGGUGACACACCUAACGGAUUAAGCAUUCCGCCUGGGGAGUACGG